UAAACCAAGUACAUCAACACCUAUUCUAACAACAGAAGCAAAUAUAACAUAAUUCAAAAAUUGGUUUGCCUCCCAGGUAGCACUUGUUUAACGUCACGAGCCUGACCCAAACCUUUCCAGCACUUGUCAGUAAGUGCAUACCUUUCCAACACCCUUCAGUAGGUGUGCUUCCUGUAUCCUUCAGUAGAUACCUAAAUCUUCUAGCAUCUCUCAGUAGAUGCUAUCCCAGUAGCAUUCAUCAGUCA
This 245-nucleotide long non-coding RNA is filed under the name Vigna radiata. RNAcentral's name for it is "long non-coding RNA (VRAD_LNC002090)". The record is from RNAcentral. Lineage: Eukaryota; Viridiplantae; Streptophyta; Magnoliopsida; Fabales; Fabaceae.